RNAcentral lists this long non-coding RNA (671 nucleotides) under Homo sapiens (human). RNAcentral's name for it is "non-protein coding lnc-JMJD4-3:1". The record is from RNAcentral. Lineage: Eukaryota; Metazoa; Chordata; Mammalia; Primates; Hominidae.
GGUCCAAUCCAGUCUUCAGGGCCAACAAUACAGGAUUAUUUGAAUCGACCAAGGCCUACCUGGGAAGAAGUAAAAGAGCAACUAGAAGAGGAGAAAAGAAAGGCUCCAAGGUUUUGGCUGAAUUUGAAGAAAAAAAUGAAUGAGAACUGGAAGAAAGAACUAGAAAGAGACAGGGAGAAAUUGUUAAGUGGAAGUGAGAGCUCAUCAAAACAAAAAAAGAAAAGAAUAAAUUUGGUAGGUAUUCAUCUUCUUCUUCAUUAAGCUCUAAUUCUUCCAGCAGUUCUUCUGAUUGUGAAAAUGAGGAUAAGAAACAAGGAAAACAGAGAAAGAAAAAGAACCGUUGACAUAAAUCUUCUGAAAGCUCCAUGUCAUAAUCUGAAUCAGACAGUAAGGAUAGUUUAAAAAAGAAAAAGAAGUCAAAAGAUGCAACGGAGAAAGAAAAGGACAUUAAAGGGCUCAGCAAAAAGAGAACGAUAAAUUCUUAAGAUAAACCUUUAUCAUCCAAGUCCUUGUCAGAAUCACAGUUUACUGAGGAGGUACGAGCAAAAAAGAAGAAAAGCAGUGAAAAAUGAGAAAAAGCAACAGAAAAAAAACAAAAAAAGAAAAAGAAGCAUAAGAAACAUAGUAAGAAGAAAAAGAAGGCUGCUAGUUCAAGUCCUGACUCACCAUAA